Long non-coding RNA from Paramacrobiotus metropolitanus, 578 nucleotides. RefSeq lists it as uncharacterized. The transcript has 3 exons. NCBI's taxonomy places the organism in Eukaryota, Metazoa, Tardigrada, Eutardigrada, Parachela, Macrobiotidae. The record is from RefSeq and is a predicted model, not a curated record.
UUCAUUUAUGAUAUUUUCAGCUAGCAAAUUUUAUCGACGGUAAGCAAACUUCGUAGACCGGCAUAUGAACAUUUUGCCAGUUGCUAGAAGUGAAAUCCACAAGCUUAGAGAGUCAGUAUUCAAAAAUUAGCUUUCGUUUGUACUUGUUUGAAAGCUGCUCAAUGAUGCUCGUCCCUGCACUCGCGCUCUUUCUCCUGGUGGCGACCUUUUCGGCACCGUCAACCGGAGCGCCUGCUGAAAAGAGUUCUUUAAAAAUUAUGGAGCCGUGUAUGCUGAAGCCGUGUAUGCAGCCUAUUUGCAAACCUCCAAAGGUGGCAACUCCGUGUUCUUGCGACUGUGUUUUGCCAAAGAAUCAUUCCGGAAACCAUCGGUAAACACCCUUUUGCAUGCAUGUUCCGUCGUUCCGAUAAGAAUUUUCGCUGUUUUCUUGCGGAAUAUAAUAAAAUCAUCAGGAGAAAACUGUGGUUAUUGUUAAAUUUUAGCUAUUUAUUUGUUGUUGCCGAAAAACGCCAAGCAGUAAAGAUUGCACCGAGCGGCAGACUUAACUCUAAAAAUGUAAUUAUGUAAAUAAAGAAUAU